UACGUAGGAGGCAAGCGUUGUCCGGAAUUACUGGGCGUAAAGCGCGUGUAGGUGGUGGGACAAGUCUGCUGUGAAAGCGCCUGGCUUAACCGGGCGAGGUCGGCGGAAACUGUUCGACUCGAGGACGGUAGAGGGGGGUGGAAUUCCCGGUGUAGUGGUGAAAUGCGUAGAGAUCGGGAGGAACACCUGUGGUGUAGACGGCUAUCUGGACGGCGACUGACGCUGAGACACGAAAGCGUGGGUAGCAAACAGG
This 253-nucleotide ribosomal RNA is filed under the name uncultured bacterium. RNAcentral describes it as "partial 16S ribosomal RNA". It matches the Rfam family "Bacterial small subunit ribosomal RNA", at positions 524 to 776 of the family's 1533-position model. The record is from RNAcentral.